GGCCAGACUCCUACGGGAGGCAGCAGUGGGGGAUAUUGCACAAUGGGGGAAACCCUGAUGCAGCGACGCCGCGUGGGCGAAGAAGUAUUUCGGUAUGUAAAGCCCUAUCAGCAGGGAAGAAGAAAUGACGGUACCUGAGUAAGAAGCCCCGGCUAACUACGUGCCAGCAGCCGCGGUAAUACGUAGGGGGCAAGCGUUAUCCGGAUUUACUGGGUGUAAAGGGAGCGUAGACGGCAUGGCAAGUCUGAUGUGAAAACCCGGGGCUCAACCCCGGGACUGCUCUGGAAACUGUACGGCUGGAGUGCAGGAGAGGUAAGUGGAAUUCCUAGUGUAGCGGUGAAAUGCGUAGAUAUUAGGAGGAACACCAGUGGCGAAGGCGGCUUACUGGACUGUAACUGACGUUGAGGCUCGAAAGCGUGGGGAGCAAACAGGAUUAGAUACCCGCGUAUC
Molecule: ribosomal RNA, 450 nt
Filed under: uncultured bacterium
Lineage: Bacteria
Description: bacterial SSU rRNA
Rfam family: Bacterial small subunit ribosomal RNA
Source: RNAcentral